CGAGCGAGUUGGGUCUUGCAGUCGCCCACCGCCCCGCUCUGCAGAUCGGUAGACUGAGUCCCGGCUAGGCGCGCAGCUCCGCGGGGCGGGAGUGGCUGAGCUAGGCGCUGACACGCCCUCUGUCCGCCCCAGAGGCAGCUCUUUGAGAUUCAGUCCACUCCGGCGCCCACCCCCCAGGUUGUCCAGAAAGUCCACUGGGCCAGGACGGUCACCCGUGGGCCUGACCUUCGGCGGUGCUCAGGGCCGAGCCCCUGCUCCAGCCGAGCCUCUUGGGACUCGGGCCACCUCUUCCCGAGCUGCUGUGCAGGGCAAGUGUGCAAGUCCCAGCCCCCUUCCCCUCGCCGGUCCCACCCUACCUAGGCCUGAGUGACUCGCCUCACCUGCUGCGGCGUAUUCAGAGCUAGGCACGCAUUUCCGCUCACCUGAACCCCUACGCCAGCCUUCCUGGGCUCAGCCUGCACUGCCUCCUCAGGGAGCCCCACCACCACCACCACCAGCCUGCUCCCGCUGCAUUCUGGGUCCCUUCUGUUGUCCUAGAUGAGGACUACCAGCGCUAGCCCAGCCCCGCGGGCCUCCGUGCAGCCUCCACGCAGGUUCAGUGUCCUGUGUGCCAUCUCAGCCCCACCCCUCCAUGGCUGAGCAGUGGAGUGCCUGGCCCUGCCUAAGACUCUGGCUCUGGAGUUUAGUCUGUGAGUCUGCUCCUGCUUGACACGCCCCUAUCUAAGGCAGCGGAUUCACUGGCUCCUCAAGGCUGAAGGCAACCGGGAACCAGUACCCAUCUCUAAUCUUGCAAAGGAAUUCAGUGAGAAAUGGAAUAAAAAAAUCACCAAGCACAUUUCCUCCAUAUGCUUUGUGAAACCAUAGAGAAUGCUCAUAUUGCACACCCCAGUGGGACACCCAUCAGCGAUGCUUUCAACCACUAGUGAUAAGCCAGGCAUGGUGGCACACACCUGUAAUCUCAGCCCUCGGGAGGCUGAGGCAGGAGGAUUACUAUGAGUUCAAGGCCAGCCUGAGCUACACAGUGAGUUCAGGGCCAGCCUGAACUACAAAGUGAAACUCUGUCUCAAAAAACCAAAAAAAACAACAAACAAACAAACAAAAAAAC
This 1105-nucleotide long non-coding RNA is filed under the name Heterocephalus glaber (naked mole-rat). RNAcentral's name for it is "lncRNA (ENSHGLG00100046455.1)". The record is from RNAcentral. Lineage: Eukaryota; Metazoa; Chordata; Mammalia; Rodentia; Bathyergidae.